UACGGAGGGUGCAAGCGGUAAUCGGAAUAACUGGGCGUAAAGGGCACGCAGGCGGUCUUUCAAGUCUGAUGUGAAAUCCCCGGGCUUAACCUGGGAAUUGCAUUUGAAACUGGGAGACUAGAGUGCUGUAGGGGGGGGUAGAAUUCCAAGUGUAGCGGUGAAAUGCGUAGAGAUGUGGAGGAAUACCGGUGGCGAAGGCGGCCCCCUGGGCAUGUACUGACGCUCAGGUGCGAAAGCGUGGGGAGCAAAAAGG
Molecule: ribosomal RNA, 253 nt
Filed under: uncultured bacterium
Lineage: Bacteria
Description: partial 16S ribosomal RNA
Rfam family: Bacterial small subunit ribosomal RNA
Source: RNAcentral